This 235-nucleotide ribosomal RNA is filed under the name uncultured bacterium. Its description in RNAcentral is "partial 16S ribosomal RNA". It matches the Rfam family "Bacterial small subunit ribosomal RNA", at positions 96 to 334 of the family's 1533-position model. The record is from RNAcentral.
CGGCGGACGGGUGAGUAACGCGUAGGAAUCUGCCCAGUAGAGGGGGAUAGCCCGGGGAAACUCGGAUUAAUACCGCAUACGCCUUAAGGGGGAAAGCAGGGGAUCUUCGGACCUUGCGCUAUUGGAUGAGCCUGCGUUGGAUUAGCUAGUUGGUAGGGUAAAGGCCUACCAAGGCGACGAUCCAUAGCUGGUCUGAGAGGAUGAUCAGCCACACUGGGACUGAGACACGGCCCAG